UACGUAGGGGGCUAGCGUUGUCCGGAAUCAUUGGGCGUAAAGCGCGUGUAGGCGGCCCGAUAAGUCCGCUGUGAAAGUCCAGGGCUCAACCCUGGGAUGCCGGUGGAAACUGUCGGGCUAGAGUCCGGAAGAGGCGAGUGGAAUUCCCGGUGUAGCGGUGAAAUGCGCAGAUAUCGGGAGGAACACCAAUGGCGAAGGCAGCUCGCUGGGACGGUACUGACGCUGAGACGCGAAAGCGUGGGGAGCAAACAGG
Molecule: ribosomal RNA, 253 nt
Filed under: uncultured bacterium
Lineage: Bacteria
Description: partial 16S ribosomal RNA
Rfam family: Bacterial small subunit ribosomal RNA
Source: RNAcentral